GGAUUGUGGCUCAGUGGUAGAGUGCUCGCCUAGCAUGCUGGGGCCCUGGGUUCGAUCUUCAGCGCCG
RNAcentral lists this transfer RNA (67 nucleotides) under Marmota monax (woodchuck). Its description in RNAcentral is "tRNA.Ala". The record is from RNAcentral. Lineage: Eukaryota; Metazoa; Chordata; Mammalia; Rodentia; Sciuridae.